UACGAAGGGACCUAGCGUAGUUCGGAAUUACUGGGCUUAAAGAGUUCGUAGGUGGUUGAAAAAGUUAGUGGUGAAAUCCCAGAGCUUAACUCUGGAACUGCCAUUAAAACUUUUCAGCUAGAGUAUGAUAGAGGAAAGCAGAAUUUCUAGUGUAGAGGUGAAAUUCGUAGAUAUUAGAAAGAAUACCAAUUGCGAAGGCAGCUUUCUGGAUCAUAACUGACGCUGAGGAACGAAAGCAUGGGUAGCGAAGAGG
This 253-nucleotide ribosomal RNA is filed under the name uncultured Pelagibacterales bacterium. Its description in RNAcentral is "partial 16S ribosomal RNA". It matches the Rfam family "Bacterial small subunit ribosomal RNA", at positions 524 to 776 of the family's 1533-position model. Lineage: Bacteria; Pseudomonadati; Pseudomonadota; Alphaproteobacteria; Candidatus Pelagibacterales. The record is from RNAcentral.